Molecule: ribosomal RNA, 473 nt
Filed under: uncultured bacterium
Lineage: Bacteria
Description: bacterial SSU rRNA
Rfam family: Bacterial small subunit ribosomal RNA
Source: RNAcentral
UGCAAGUCGAACGGCAGCACGGAGCUUGCUCUGGUGGCGAGUGGCGAACGGGUGAGUAAUAUAUCGGAACGUACCCUGGAGUGGGGGAUAACGAGGCGAAAGCUUUGCUAAUACCGCAUACGAUCUCAGGAUGAAAGCAGGGGACCGCAAGGCCUUGCGCUAACGGAGCGGCCGAUGGCAAAUUAGGUAGUUGGUGGGAUAAAAGCUUACCAAGCCGACGAUCUGUAGCUGGUCUGAGAGGAUGAUCAGCCACACUGGGACUGAGACACGGCCCAGACUCCUACGGGAGGCAGCAGUGGGGAAUUUUGGACAAUGGGGGCAACCCUGAUCCAGCCAUGCCGCGUGCAGGAUGGAGGCCUUCGGGUUGUAAACUGCUUUUGUACGGAACGAAAAGGCUCUUUCUAAUAAAUGGGGCUCAUGACGGUACCGUAAGAAUAAGCACCGGCUAACUACGUGCCAGCAGCCGCGGUAAU